AUGAAGACCUUACUCAUCCUAACAAUCCUUGCGAUGGCAACAACAAUCGCCACUGCCAAUAUGCAGGUCGACCCUAGCAGCCGAGUACAAUGGCCACAAGAACGACCUUUCCCCCAGUCCCAACAACCAUUCUCCCAGCAACCACAACAAAUAUUUCCCCAACCCCAACAAACAUUCCCCCAUCAACCACAACAAGCAUUUCCCCAACCUCAACAAACAUUCCCCCAUCGACCACAACAACAAUUUCCCCAGCCCCAGCAACCACAACAACCAUUUCCCCAGCCCCAACAACCCCAACUACCAUUUCCCCGACAACCACAACAACCAUUCCCCCAGCCUCAACAACCCCAACAACCAUUUCCCCAGUCACAGCAACCACAACAACCUUUUCCCCAACCCCAACAACAAUUUCCGCAGCCCCAACAACCACAACAAUCAUUCCCCCAACAACAACAACUGAUGAUUCAGUCAUUUCUACAACAACAGAUGAACCCCUGCAAGAAUUUUCUCUUGCAGCAAUGCAACCCUAUGUCAUUGGUGUCAUCUCUCGUGUCAAUAAUCUUGCCACGAAGUGAUUGCCAGGUGAUGCAGCAACAAUGUUGCCAACAACUAGCACAAAUUCCUCAACAGCUCCAGUGCGCAGCCAUCCACAGCGUCGCGCAUUCCAUCAUCAUGCAGCAAGAACAACAACAAGGCGUGCAGAUCCUGCGACCACUAUUUCAGCUCGCCCAGGGUCUGGGUAUCAUCCAACCUCAACAACCAGCUCAAUUGGAGGGGAUCAGGUCAUUGGUAUUGAAAACUCUUCCAACCAUGUGCAACGUGUAUGUCCCACCUGACUGCUCCACCAUCAACGUACCAUAUGCCAGCAUAGACGCCGGCAUUGGUGGCCAAUGA
This 894-nucleotide ribosomal RNA is filed under the name Triticum aestivum (bread wheat). Its description in RNAcentral is "partial small subunit ribosomal RNA". Lineage: Eukaryota; Viridiplantae; Streptophyta; Magnoliopsida; Poales; Poaceae. The record is from RNAcentral.